Molecule: long non-coding RNA, 382 nt
Filed under: Stegodyphus dumicola
Lineage: Eukaryota; Metazoa; Arthropoda; Arachnida; Araneae; Eresidae
Description: uncharacterized LOC118191022, transcript variant X1
Source: RNAcentral
AAACCAUCGAAACUAGUCCUGUGAAAAUUUUCCCUCCUGAAUUUUGUCAUGCAGGAAAACUAGUGGCUCCAGCUCUAGCUUUUCAAAAACAGCUUGUCCGUUGAGAAGGCAGUUCGCGAUUCGAAGAAAAGCGAUCUUCAUGCGUCACAAAAUAUUUUUCAGGUUAUGGAAGAAUAGUUGCCAGAGCCCCAAGGAGGUUGGACUUCUACCCCAGCUUUGAGAAACAGCACCCCAGGGACCGGUGGUUCGACUGUCUUCCAACCCUCUCCCCUACCACCGGAUUGUAAUAGUAGGACUACAUAAUGAUAAAAAUUUAAUAGCUCUAUCUCCCAUGGUUGUUUCGUCUGAAAUCUUUGUAAUCAGAGAAAGACGUUACGCUCAU